AAUGUUAGUAGACUUCGUGGGUAUGGGUUAACCAUGAAUACCAAUGUUAGUGGACUUCGUGGGUAUGGGUUAACCAUGAAUACCAAUGUUAGUGGACUUCGUAGGUAUGGGUUAACCAUGAAUACCAAUGUUAGUGGACUUCGUAGGUAUGGGUUAACCAUGAAUACCAAUGUUAGUAGACUUCGUGGGUAUGGGUUAACCAUGAAUACCAAUGUAAUUGGACUUCAUGGGUAUGGGUUAACCAUGAAUACCAAUGUUAGUGGACUUCGUGGGUAUGGGUUAACCAUGAAUACCAAUGUUAGUGGACUUCGUAGGUAUGGGUUAACCAUGAAUACCAAUGUUAGUGGACUUCGUGGGUAUGGGUUAACCAUGAAUACCAAUGUUAGUGGACUUCAUAGGUAUGGGUUAACCAUGAAUACCAAUGUUAGUGGACUUCGUGGGUAUGGGUUAACCAUGAAUACCAAUGUUAGUGGACUUCGUAGGUAUGGGUUAAGGUGGCUCGGGUGUCUUCCUCCAUCUUGGAUUUUGAAGUAGCAGAUAACGUUGGUCUAGAUAUUUGAUGAAAUGUGCAAAUUUUGAGAGUAGUAUAUAAUUUAUGUAAAAGACUUUUGAUGAAAAUAUAGAAAAUUGUGUGUUUUAUCCUAAUUACAGCUGUAAUUUCUCAAAAACACCUUAUUUGUUUGUGUUUGAUUAGAUUUUUUCAACUUUGCCAAAUAAGGGGAGAUAACUCAGAUAAAGUAAUUUUUAUAAUAGAAAGUGUUGUGAAUUUACCUAUUUUGAUAUGUAGCAAGAAAACAAGUUCGGUGACCCCAUUUUUUUUUUCUUAUAUGAAAGCAUGUUAUAAGAGCUAUCUUCUCACAUUUUAUCUUAAAGUUCUAUCAAGUAGUUUUCUUUUUAUCACACAAAAUUUGAUUUUCUAUGCAUAAUCUAUACAAAAUCUGACAAUUUUGCACGACCUGUAGCGUGAAAAAAAGUCCGGUGGCCCAUACUUUUUAUUAUAUUUUUGAAAAAAGCAUGAUAAAAACUUCAUUUUGACAAAUUAUCAAAAAAUUCUAUCAAUUUUAAUUAAGACUCCCCAGCCACCUUAACCAUGAAUACCAAUGUUAGUGGACUUCGUGGGUAUGGGUUAACUAUGAAUACAAAUGUUAGUGGACUUCGUGGGUAUGGGUUAACCAUGAAUACAAAUGUUAGUGGACUUCGUGGGUAUGGGUUAACCAUGAAUACAAAUGUUCAACAAAGUACAAUUUUUCUAUAGGAUUGUAUGCUGAAUUUGGCAAAAUAAUUAAAACAAAUAUCCACAACUUAUUAUUUAUUCCAAUAGAAUAAAUGAAUCCAUAAUAUAAUUUCUUCUGCCAUUUGCACUACAAACACUUGUCUGUGGCUCUUUCUUUAGCAACUUGAUUAAAUUUCUAAACAGUUUAGAUAUAUGAUACAAAUAGCUACUGUGGUAGAAUCCCUUAAUGAAUUUUAAAUUCCUUUCUACUUCCUCAUGAAACUAUUCAAUCAAAUGAGACGGCCUUUUGGUUUAAUUUUUAUAUUGUGUUACCUGCAUUUGUUUCACAACUUAUUUAUAAAGUAAACUUGAUGCUUUUCUUGUUUCUAUUUAAACAACCAUCAAAUUAUAUCACUGUGAAAUGUUCAUCUAAUCAUUACAAUA
Molecule: long non-coding RNA, 1657 nt
Organism: Mytilus californianus (California mussel)
Lineage: Eukaryota; Metazoa; Mollusca; Bivalvia; Mytilida; Mytilidae
Exons: 3
Source: RefSeq, a predicted model, not a curated record